UGGCGGCGCGCCUAACACAUGACAAGUACGAACGAGAAGUCCGGGGCGAACCCGGUAGUAAAGUGGCAAACGGGUGAGGAAUACAUGGGUAACCUACCCUUGAGAAGGGAAUAACCCGCCGAAAGGUGAGCUAAUACCCUAUACGCUAUCUUUUUUUCGAAAAGGAUAGGAAAGCCGGGUCGAGGACCUGGUACUCAAGGAGGGGCUCAUGUCCUAUCAGCUUGUUGGUGGGGUAACGGCCUACCAAGGCUACGACGGGUAGCUGGUCUGAGAGGAUGAUCAGCCACACUGGCACUGAGAUACGGGCCAGACUCCUACGGGAGGCAGCAGUGAGGAAUAUUGCGCAAUGGGCGAAAGCCUGACGCAGCGACGCCGCGUGGGGAUGAAGGUUUUCGGAUUGUAAACCCCUUUCAUGAGGAAAGAUAAAGUGGGUAACCACUUAGACGGUACCUCAAGAAGAAGCCACGGCUAACUUCGUG
Molecule: ribosomal RNA, 479 nt
Filed under: uncultured bacterium
Lineage: Bacteria
Description: bacterial SSU rRNA
Rfam family: Bacterial small subunit ribosomal RNA
Source: RNAcentral